Molecule: non-coding RNA, 45 nt
Organism: Volvox carteri f. nagariensis
Lineage: Eukaryota; Viridiplantae; Chlorophyta; Chlorophyceae; Chlamydomonadales; Volvocaceae
Source: Rfam
UACACGGUGUUUUUCAACACCACCAACUUUGUUAUUAUCUUCGCA